RNAcentral lists this ribosomal RNA (273 nucleotides) under uncultured bacterium. Its description in RNAcentral is "partial 16S ribosomal RNA". It matches the Rfam family "Bacterial small subunit ribosomal RNA", at positions 524 to 796 of the family's 1533-position model. The record is from RNAcentral.
UACGUAGGGUGCGAGCGUUGUCCGGAAUUAUUGGGCGUAAAGAGCUCGUAGGCGGUUUGUCGCGUCGGCCGUGAAAACCUGCCGCUUAACGGUGGGCGUGCGGUCGAUACGGGCAGACUUGAGUUCGGUAGGGGAGACUGGAAUUCCUGGUGUAGCGGUGAAAUGCGCAGAUAUCAGGAGGAACACCGGUGGCGAAGGCGGGUCUCUGGGCCGAUACUGACGCUGAGGAGCGAAAGCGUGGGGAGCGAACAGGAUUAGAUACCCCCGUAGUCC